CGAAGUAGUCCGGUGAAAAAGAAACUAAAAAUCAAUAAAACAGAAUACCAUCAAGUUUUCCACAAAAGCCUACCAAAACGAAAAAAAUGGAGAAAAAAGGAUUCACUAGCUCAGAAAACUGAAAAAAUACCCAUUUGCAUAAUUGAAGGGAUUGAGGAUGAUGCACUAUACAAUUCAGACAUUGUAGUCGCACAACGUACUAGCUUCCCGCAAGAAGACUUUGACGCAAAUAAGGGUUGUGGUGAUCAUUCCCAACGAAAACACGAACCCUUGUCAAGAUUAAUAAAUGCAACAAAGAUGGGGUUCAAAUUGCACGACGUAUUGU
Molecule: long non-coding RNA, 325 nt
Organism: Xenia sp. Carnegie-2017
Lineage: Eukaryota; Metazoa; Cnidaria; Anthozoa; Malacalcyonacea; Xeniidae
Exons: 3
Source: RefSeq, a predicted model, not a curated record